AUUGAACGCUGGCGGCAGGCUUAACACAUGCAAGUCGAGCGGGGUGAUGGUGCUUGCACUAUCACUUAGCGGCGGACGGGUGAGUAAUGCUUAGGAAUCUGCCUAUUAGUGGGGGACAACAUCUCGAAAGGGAUGCUAAUACCGCAUACGUCCUACGGGAGAAAGCAGGGGACCACUUGUGACCUUGCGCUAAUAGAUGAGCCUAAGUCGGAUUAGCUAGUGGGUGGGGUAAAGGCCUACCAAGGCGACGAUCUGUAGCGGGUCUGAGAGGAUGAUCCGCCACACUGGGACUGAGACACGGCCCAGACUCCUACGGGAGGCAGCAGUGGGGAAUAUUGGACAACGGGGGGAACCCUGAUCCAGCCAUGCCGCGUGUGUGAAGAAGGCCUUAUGGUUGUAAAGCACUUUAAGCGAGGAGGAGGCUCUUUUGGUUAAUACCCAAGAUGAGUGGACGUUACUCGCAGAAUAAGCACCGGCUAACUCUGUGCCAGCCGCCGCCGUAA
Molecule: ribosomal RNA, 503 nt
Filed under: uncultured bacterium
Lineage: Bacteria
Description: partial 16S ribosomal RNA
Rfam family: Bacterial small subunit ribosomal RNA
Source: RNAcentral